Molecule: long non-coding RNA, 3157 nt
Filed under: Marmota monax (woodchuck)
Lineage: Eukaryota; Metazoa; Chordata; Mammalia; Rodentia; Sciuridae
Source: RNAcentral
UUAAAUCUUAGAAAACAUCAGUGUGAUCAUUUUAAACAGAAGCUUUACAAAGAUAAUAAAAGUGAGAAAGUUUUUAAUCGAGUGUCAAAAUUUAUCUAUCCAAGCUUUGAUAUUCAAGAAAAGAACGACAAAUGUAUGGGACGUUCAAGAGCUUUAAAUAAAAUUGCAAGCAUUACUGAACACCAGAAAAUUCAUACUGGAGGGAAGUCCUACAAAUUUAAAGAAUGUGUAAAACCAUUUAAAAAUUACUCAAUCCUUUAUCAUAGCAGUGACAAACCCUACAUAUGUAAAGAAUGUGGUAAAGGUUUUAGUCAACCUUCAACCCUUACUAAACACCAUAUGACUCACUGUGGAGAGAGCCCAUACAAAUGGAGGAAAUGUGUCAAAGUCCUUAAGUAUCACUCAACCCUUAUUAAACACCACAGUAUUUAUAAUAGAGAAAAGCUCUACAAAUGUAAUGAAUGUGGCAAAAGUUUUAAUCGAAGCUCAAACCUUAUUGUUCACCGUAGAAUUCAUACUGGAGAGAAGCCAUACAAAUGUGAAGAAUGUGAGAAAGCCUUUCAUCAAAAAUCACACCUUACUCAACACCAAAGGAAUCAUUCUGGAGAAAAGCCCUACAAGUGUAAAGAAUGUGGCAAAGCUUUUACUGUUAGGCCAAGCCUUAUUGCUCACCAGAGAGUUCAUACUAGAGAGAAGCCAUACAAAUGUGAAGAAUGUGGCAAAGCUUUUAAUGAAAAGUCACACCUUAUCUGCCAUCAGAGAAUUCAUACUGGAGAAAAGCCAUACAAAUGUAAAGAAUGUGGCAAAGCUUUUACUGUUAAGACAAGCCUUAUAGCUCACCAGAGAAUUCAUACUGGAGAAAAGCCAUACAAAUGUAAAGAAUGUGGCAAAGCUUUUACUGUUAGGCCAAGCCUUAUAGCUCACCAGAGAAUUCAUACGGGAGAAAAGCCAUACAAAUGUAAAGAAUGUGACAAAGCUUUUACUCAAAUCUCAAAACUUAUUAUUCACCAGAGAAUUCAUACUGGAGAAAAACCAUACAAAUGUAAAGAAUGUGGCAAAGCUUUUAUUGAAAGAUCAUACCUUACUCAACACCAGAGUUUUCAUACUGGAGAAAAGCCUUACAAAUGUAAAGAAUGUGGCAAAGCUUUUUAUCUAAACUCAAAACUUACUGUUCACCAGAGAAUUCACACUGGAGAAAAGCCCUACAAAUGUAAAGAAUGUGGCAAAGCAUUUAAUCAAAACUCAAGUCUUAAUGUACACCAGAGAAUUCAUUCUGGAGAGAAACCAUACAAAUGUAAAGAAUGUGGCAAAGCAUUUAAUCAAACCUCAAGUCUUAAUGUACAUCAAAAAAUUCACACUGGAGAGAAAACAUACAAAUGUAAAGGCCAUGGAAUGAGGCAAAAUUGUUAAGUAAUCCCUCAAGUGUUAUCAAGCAGCAGAGAAUUCAUACUUGAGAGAAUCCUUACAAAUAUAAAUGUUAAAAAGCAUUUAUUGUGACAUCAUACUUUAUUGAUCACCAGAUAAUUCAGAGUGGAACAAAGCCCUACAAUUGAAGAAAAAAUGUGGCAAAGUUUUUAUUCAAAGUUCAGCAUUUUAAAAAUGUCAAACAUUAUAGUAGGGAUUAAACCCUACAAACGUAGAGUAUGUGACAACACUUUUAAGAGAAGCUCCCACCUUACAAAUCACCACCAUAGAUAUAGUACCUGAGCCCUAUAAAUGUAAAGAAUAUGUCAAAGCUUUAUUCAAAUGAAAAAAUUAUACAUUAUCAAAACCUAAUUCUUGUUAAUAUCUGCAUAAAACCCUCUGUCCAAGAUGCAUAGCUAAUAUGUCAGCAAAAUGUUUAACAUUGAGAAAAAUGUUGACAUAUGAGAAAAAUACAGCAAAGUCAUUGUUUUCCAUAUAUUUCUGAAAUGAGCAUUAUCAGAGAAUUUCUAUAAGUAUAGAAAACAUGGCAUUACUUUUAACAGUUUCUUAAAAUUUACUGGGCAUCAUUAGUUGAUGUGAUAGAAAUAAAGUAACCCUCAGAUAUCAACAUAGUGCAAAUAGCUCAUCCCUGAAAAAAAUAUUUGUUUAUUACAAAUAAAAACUAAAUAUAUAUACUCAAAAACUGGAGAAAAGUAAUUUUUCCUCUAGGUAAUUAUAUCAAAGGAAAAAUACUCAUUAAUAAGAAUUUUAAAUUUGACUUUUUUCUUGUGGUGGUGGUGAUGAGGAUUGAACCCAGGGCUCUCGAAUGCUAAGCAAAUGUUCUACCACUGAGUCACAUCCGUAGCCAGUGUAUUCUGUAUUUUGUGAAGACUUUGCAAUUAUAUUUGAAAUACUUUAUUCACAUUGUGAAAGAAUUUUAUUACAAAAUAACAGUGAAUGUUUCUGAAUUGUUAACACUAUCAUGUAUUGAAUUACAUUUUAUGAUAGUUUGUAGACAACGAAGAGAUACUGUUUGGUAAACAAUGUGACAUUUCUUUUAAUCCUUUUAGGCAAUGUAGUCAAUCUUCAAAUUAUGUGGAGAUGAUUUAAUCAUUUCUAAAGAAACUGGCUCAAUAAAUUGUGUAACUUAAUCAUUUCUCAUUUUUUAUAUUUAUUGUGGACAAAGACACUAUAGGAAAUAUAAUGAAAGAUGAUAACAAAUCCAGAUUGCUAAAUCUUAAGUAACUAUUUCAAAAUUUUAUUCUAUAAUUUAUGGGUGUUUUACUGAUAUAUUGAUAUCCCUUCAUGUCAUGAACAUUGGUUUUGAUUGAAAUUUAUUUGAAUAUACAAAUUUUCCGAUCUAAUGGUAAAGUUUGGGAGUAAGUAUGAUAGAAGUAGUAAUUCUCUCUUUCUGUCUCUCUCUCUUUUAUGUGUGAGAGAAUGGAUGUGUUUGCUUAUGCCUCUGUUUAGAAACAAAAUAACUUAUUUAAUGAAAGAGAAUUUCAAGAUUUUUCAUGAUUACUAGUAAACUAUAAACAACAAAUAUCUUUUAACAAUCUUCUGAGGUACACUAAACUCAUUUCUUCCAAAUACAUGAUUCCUGAUUUAAAAAUCUUGCCACACCAAUUUUGGCCUUUCUGUUUGCUUGUUACUCAUGGAACAUGUAACAUAUAACUUUUUGGUUUGAAACUUUUAUAAUACAUUGCUAUAUGAUCUGUUCAGAGAAUUUAAGAAUAAUUUUAAUGAUAGUUAC